GCCUCCUAUCCUUCAUUCCACCGGAGUCUGUGUGUCACCAAUCAGAUUUCAGUGGUGUGAAGUGUAAGAGGCA
This 73-nucleotide microRNA precursor is filed under the name Scleropages formosus (Asian bonytongue). RNAcentral's name for it is "mir-205 microRNA precursor family". It matches the Rfam family "mir-205 microRNA precursor family". Lineage: Eukaryota; Metazoa; Chordata; Actinopteri; Osteoglossiformes; Osteoglossidae. The record is from Rfam by way of RNAcentral.